This 253-nucleotide ribosomal RNA is filed under the name uncultured bacterium. RNAcentral describes it as "partial 16S ribosomal RNA". It matches the Rfam family "Bacterial small subunit ribosomal RNA", at positions 524 to 776 of the family's 1533-position model. The record is from RNAcentral.
UACGAAGGGUGCAAACGUUGCUCGGAAUCAUUGGGCGUAAAGCGCACGUAGGCGGCUUCAAAAGUCGGAUGUGAAAUCCCUCGGCUCAACCGAGGACGUGCAUCCGAAACUGCGGAGCUUGAGUAUGGAAGAGGGUCGCGGAAUCCCCGGUGUAGAGGUGAAAUUCGUAGAUAUCGGAAGGAACAUCAGUGGCGAAGGCGACUUCCUGGACCAAUACUGACGCUCAGGUGCGAAAGCGUGGGGAGCAAACAGG